CGAUGCUGACCGCUGAAACGGCGUGUUCGGCGCGUGGAUCUCCUCUUCUUGGGGAUACAAGUGGGUGGCGGGUCAAACCGUCAUUCGCUCCCCAUCGUUUACUUUGAGAAAAUUGGAGUGCUCAAAGCAGGCACAACCCUGCCUUGAACAAUGCAGCAUGGGAUAAUAGAACAGGACGAAGGUCCUAUUUUGUUGGUUUCUAGGGCUUUUGUAAUGAUUAAAAGGGACAGUUGGGGGCAUUCGUAUUCAAUUGUCAGAGGUGAAAUUCUAGGAUUAAUUGAAGACGAACUACUGCGAAAGCAUUUGCCAAGGAUGUUUUCAUUAAUCAAGAACGAAAGUAGGGGGAUCGAAGAUGAUCAGAUACCGUCGUAGUCUCUACCAUAAACGAUGCCGACCAGGGAUCCGGAGAAGUUACGUGGAUGACUCCCCGGGCACCUUGUGAGAAAUCAUAAGUCGCUGGGUUCUGGGG
Molecule: ribosomal RNA, 469 nt
Filed under: Echinamoeba exundans
Lineage: Eukaryota; Tubulinea; Echinamoebida; Echinamoebidae
Description: bacterial SSU rRNA
Rfam family: Eukaryotic small subunit ribosomal RNA
Source: RNAcentral